UUAUUCAACUUCUUUGAAACUUUUAUUUACCACUAAAUACUUCACUUUUCUAGCAAUCUUCUUUAGAAUCCCAUUAAAUAAAUAAAUAAAUAAAUAAAAUCUUUAGCUAAACUCCACUAUUACCUUGAAAGUUAUCAAAAUAUGUGACAAUUGAUUCUACCUUCAAAGAUUAUAUAUAGGCAAACUUAGUCCCAUACUGUCACUAUUGUUACUAUUAUAACUAGCAUUAUUAUUACUGUUAUUGUUGUUCUUAAUUUCACUCGUUGCCGACAGCUACACUUAGGGGCUGUUUGGGUACCUGAAAAUCUAUUACAUGACAAUAUAUUACAAAGAAAUAUGUCAUUUUC
RNAcentral lists this long non-coding RNA (347 nucleotides) under Amborella trichopoda. RNAcentral describes it as "long non-coding RNA (ATRI_LNC003337)". Lineage: Eukaryota; Viridiplantae; Streptophyta; Magnoliopsida; Amborellales; Amborellaceae. The record is from RNAcentral.